AACGAACGCUGGCGGCAUGCCUAACACAUGCAAGUCGAACGAGACCUUCGGGUCUAGUGGCGCACGGGUGCGUAACGCGUGGGAACCUGCCCUUAGGUUCGGAAUAACUCCCCGAAAGGGGUGCUAAUACCGGAUAAUGUCUUCGGACCAAAGAUUUAUCGCCUUUGGAUGGGCCCGCGUUGGAUUAGCUAGUUGGUAGGGUAAAAGCCUACCAAGGCGACGAUCCAUAGCUGGUCUGAGAGGAUGAUCAGCCACACUGGGGCUGAGACACGGCCCAGACUCCUACGGGAGGCAGCAGGGGGGAAUAUUGGACGAUGGGCGAAAGCCUGAGCCAGCAAGGCCGCGUGAGUGAUGAAGGCCUGAGGGUUGUAAAGCUCUGUUACCCGUGAUGAUAAUGACAGUACCGGGAGAAUAAGCGCCGGCUAACUCCGUG
This 433-nucleotide ribosomal RNA is filed under the name uncultured bacterium. Its description in RNAcentral is "partial 16S ribosomal RNA". It matches the Rfam family "Bacterial small subunit ribosomal RNA", at positions 29 to 507 of the family's 1533-position model. The record is from RNAcentral.